ACUUCUCUGCCAAGCGCUCCCUCUCUGUGGUUGGGCGUCAACAACAACGUCACGAAAGACGGCAGCGGGUGGACUGACGGAUCCCCGUUGGGUUACAUCGUCAUGGACGGAGGUGACCCCGGCGACCUCUCUGCUGCGUCCUGUCUUUCCUUUCUCACAAGCAACGGCCGCUGGAAGUUUGACGAUUGCCGGAAGAAGAGAGGCUACAUCUGCAAGAAAAGAGGAAACAUUCCAAAACCGCCGCAGCAGCCUCAUGACG
Syngnathus acus (greater pipefish) is the source of this 259-nucleotide long non-coding RNA. RefSeq lists it as uncharacterized. The record is from RefSeq and is a predicted model, not a curated record. NCBI's taxonomy places the organism in Eukaryota, Metazoa, Chordata, Actinopteri, Syngnathiformes, Syngnathidae. The transcript has 3 exons.